AUGCUUCAGCAAAUUUUGUUUAAAGUUUCCUGCAAACGUUUUGUCUCCUUUUCUCUUGAUGUUCUACAAGUAUGUUUUUCCACUUUGUUCUCCAACCCUUUCCCAUUUAAUUUGAUAGAUAAAAUAACACCACUUUCAAAAAUGUUCAAAGGGGAAAAAAUCAGAAAAGUUCUUAUGGGUGAGACAUGGCAGAAUUCUCAAUCUUACAAAGUGGCAUGAGGUGAGACUUCCCUGCCUUUCACUAUAUAUGGCCAUUACUUGUCUGUGUGCACUGAGUGGCCCUAAUAUCCUGCACUCCACAGAGAAACGUUUAAGAGAUAACUUUUCCCAAGGAGUAUUUUUUAAAACCAGGAUCAAGAGAGGCUACAGAAUGAAAGAUGUAGAAUAGAAAGAAAACAGCAUACAUCCUCAACAUACUUCCAUACAAUAGGAUAAGCAUUCACCAAUUUUGGUAUCUGCAGGACCCCUUGUAGAUUCCAAAAUUUGUGGAUGCUCAUCCUAUUGUAUAUAAUCUUGCAAUAAAAUUGUGUCCCUUUUAUAAAACAGCAAAUCAAGGUUUUCUUUUGGGGAUUUUUUUUCAGAGGGGAAUAUUUUCAAUCUGUGGAUCGUUGAAUUUGUGCAUUCAGAAUCCAUGUUUAUAGAGGGCUGACUCAUUUCAAUAUCAUAAAAGAAAGUAUUCCCCAUAUCUCGGUUGUCUUGCUGUUACUUUAUAGGAUUAGAAGUGAGCUGUGAUCACUGAAGAAAAGUUAUACUAACAACCUAGAUGUUAUUUUGCCCACUUUCCCCUUGGAGAGGUCUUUCUUUUAGCCCUAAGUGAAUUGUUAAUGGAUAAAAUGUGUGACCGGUAAUCCACAUGGUAAUUUCAGUGUGCUCCAUUUGCCUCCUGCAAGUUCUGAUCUCCAUCAGUGGAUUUUCAUGUGUGUAAAGGCUCUGGUAUAUGACAUUUCAGACAAUCAGGUUAAUAUCAAUAAUUGCAACAAUCAGAUCAACCUUAUGCAUUCAAAUGCACCCUGAUUAUUUCAAGCAAUUGAACUCAGUUCAGAUCUUUAAUACUUCUCCCCUUCACUGCAUUCUGAUACUAGUUCAAAUGGGGAAUGUCUCAAUUUAUCACCCAAUUUUCAUUACUAUUUCUCUUAAGUAAUUUUCCUCGAUAAAACAUACACACAGCGUGCCUCGUUCCUUCACACAAUUUUAGGUUUUUUUUUCCUUCCUCCACACUCAAGCACUGAAUUUACAUUGAACUUUCCAAUUCAGGCCAAUUCACAGGGGCUCCAAAUUAGUCAAAUGAGCCAAAAUACCUUCACUGUCCUUCAGACUAAACUGACAAGAAGAUAGAAAGAGCAGCGUUUUUACAGUCACUCUCUCAUCUUCUCUUUGAAAAGGGCCUGACGCUGCUGAUAGAGAUGAAUGAUGAUGUUUUUAGAAUGAAGCUCAGUGUUAAUCUAUAUUAAAUUCCAAUGUUCUGUGACAUAUAUAUGCAAGUGGGAAGCAGGAUGAAAGCUUCAAAACUAGCAAGCUUCUCUUCCACAUAUAUUUACUUUACUGGUUUUCUGAACACCUGAAGAAAGCUAAAAUAUACCAGGACUGUGGUGUAAGAUUAAAAGUGAUCCUUAUUGGCUAAGACCAGAUGGGACAAUACCAGGCUAAAAGAAACUGUAUUAAAUAAAUGAUUUCCCAUUGUAGGGAUGUUAGAGAAUACUUAGAAAUAUCCUCAUCCAGGCCUAAACAUGUGCUUUGUCCUGGCAUGGUGGAGGUAAAACUUUUCCAUAACUUGAUUUUUCCAUAAUCCUGUUCCACCCCCUCCUGUUUCCAUCCCCUUUUAAAGCUAUCAUCUUUUGGUAAUCAGAACUCAGGCAACCAGAACUCUCAAGCAAAUAGCAAGAAUUUUUUUAAGAAAUAAUACUUUUUAAAGAUUUGCAGUAUUUUUUUAACCCAGAAGGAAACCUCAUUCAAAUAUUUAUUCUAAAUUACUUUGCAUUAGCCUGAGCUCAUCGUUUGGACACCCCAGGCUAAUGCAACAUAUACACUGCAUUUUCUGGCUGUGUAAAUGGGGCCAACGAGUCUACUGUAGCCAGCAAAGCAGUUUUUUUCUGGCAGGUUGAGAUCAGAAAGUCUAACUGGGUUCAAACAACAGAAAUGAUUUUUUUUUUCUGGCACAAUAAGUUUGGGUCUAAUUCUUGUCUCCUAUUACUGCAUCUUUGGGUUGGUUAAAAGCUAUUACAAAGAGCAAUUCCCACUGUAUUUAAAGGGCCUUAUUUCUGAGUAAGAAUGUGACAUUUUGUCAAUUUCCUUUUCAUUACACCUGUAGGAAUCUCCUCAGUAUUCUCUCAUUCAAAUUCUGCAUCAAGAGACUUUUAUUCUUCUUUCCACAUGGAAAACUGUGCAUUUCAGUACAUGUAUACAUUGUUUACACUUUUGUUCUUUUCAAGUUCAUUGUGAUUGUGAAGAAUUCAAAAAGACAUCAUCCAUAUGAACACUGUUUGUACUACAUAUACAACAACACAAGUGAGAAUGAUAAAUAAGUUAUAUAGAUCAAAAACAAUGCAAAUUAACAAUUUCAUUGACACUAGCUAUGUGCUUUAUACUGUUCAAUGUGUGUGUGUGUGUGUGUGUGUGUGUGUGUUUGGAUGGGUGGGUGGAUAAACUUCCCAACCUGUUAAAAAUAGCACAGCACCUUUCAAAUUUGAAAAAAAAAUAAACAGUUGAGAGGUGAUUUUUUAGUUAAACAUUUUAAAAGAAAUAUUAGAUAUGCAUUUUGGAUUCUGUAGAAAAUACACAAUCACAAUUAAGAUACUUUUUAAUAAAAAUGGGAUAUAAUGAAUUUUAAGAUUUAAAUCAUUAGAACCUAUAAGUUUAAAAGAAGAUCUGGAAUUUACAAUAUCUAAUAUAAAGAUUAUUGUGGAAGACUUGACAGUAAAUAGAGGAAACACUCAGAGAGGCCUUCGGUUCCUUUACUCCCUUGAAUGUCUGAGUCCAGUGAUGAUAGUAUCUAGUUCUGUUUGCUUAAUUGUCCAUUUCUUUGGAGAGUGUAUUAUACAAAUCCAGAAAUGUUUGUGUAAAAGUAUGUAUAUUCACCGUGUUACAUAGAAUAAUGUAAUCUUUAUGUUCACCUUCUGCUUAUGAGAACUAAAAGAGCUUCUUGUGGGGUAGAUCACAGGGGCUUACAUGUCUUUACAGGUCACAGGGGCUUACAUGUC
Anolis carolinensis (green anole) is the source of this 3197-nucleotide long non-coding RNA. NCBI's taxonomy places the organism in Eukaryota, Metazoa, Chordata, Lepidosauria, Squamata, Anolidae. The record is from Ensembl.